RNAcentral lists this ribosomal RNA (252 nucleotides) under uncultured bacterium. Its description in RNAcentral is "partial 16S ribosomal RNA". It matches the Rfam family "Bacterial small subunit ribosomal RNA", at positions 524 to 775 of the family's 1533-position model. The record is from RNAcentral.
UACGGGGGGGGCAAGCGUUGUUCGGAAUUACUGGGCGUAAAGGGCUUGUAGGUGGCCAACUAAGUCAGACGUGAAAUCCCUCAGCUUAACUGGGGAACUGCGUCUGAUACUGGAUGGCUUGAGUUUGGGAGAGGGAUGCGGAAUUCCAGGUGUAGCGGUGAAAUGCGUAGAUAUCUGGAGGAACACCGGUGGCGAAGGCGGCAUCCUGGACCAACACUGACACUGAGGAGCGAAAGCCAGGGGAGCAAACGG